Molecule: ribosomal RNA, 45 nt
Filed under: Trypanosoma sp. AP-2014
Lineage: Eukaryota; Euglenozoa; Kinetoplastea; Trypanosomatida; Trypanosomatidae
Description: partial 5.8S ribosomal RNA
Source: RNAcentral
GUCGUGAAUCACGGCCCCAACAACGUGUCGCGAUGGAUGACUUGG